This 204-nucleotide ribosomal RNA is filed under the name uncultured Desulfocapsa sp. RNAcentral's name for it is "partial 16S ribosomal RNA". It matches the Rfam family "Bacterial small subunit ribosomal RNA", at positions 1179 to 1382 of the family's 1533-position model. The record is from RNAcentral. Lineage: Bacteria; Pseudomonadati; Thermodesulfobacteriota; Desulfobulbia; Desulfobulbales; Desulfocapsaceae.
AUGACGUCAAGUCCUCAUGGCCUUUAUGACCAGGGCUACACACGUACUACGAUGGCCGGUACAAAGGGCAGCGACACAGCGAUGUGAAGCCAAUCCCGAAAAGCCGGUCUCAGUCCGGAUUGGAGUCUGCAACUCGACUCCAUGAAGUUGGAAUCGCUAGUAAUCGCGGAUCAACACGCCGCGGUGAAUACGUUCCCGGGCCUU